UACGUAGGGUGCGAGCGUUAAUCGGAAUUACUGGGCGUAAAGCGUGCGCAGGCGGUUCGUUUAGUCAGAUGUGAAAGCCCCGGGCUCAACCUGGGAACUGCAUUUGAAACUGGCGGGCUUGAGUAUGGCAGAGGGGGGUGGAAUUCCGCGUGUAGCAGUGAAAUGCGUAGAGAUGCGGAGGAACACCGAUGGCGAAGGCAGCCCCCUGGGCCAAUACUGACGCUCAGGCACGAAAGCGUGGGGAGCAAACAGG
RNAcentral lists this ribosomal RNA (253 nucleotides) under uncultured bacterium. Its description in RNAcentral is "partial 16S ribosomal RNA". It matches the Rfam family "Bacterial small subunit ribosomal RNA", at positions 524 to 776 of the family's 1533-position model. The record is from RNAcentral.